Astatotilapia calliptera (eastern happy) is the source of this 71-nucleotide microRNA precursor. Lineage: Eukaryota; Metazoa; Chordata; Actinopteri; Cichliformes; Cichlidae. The record is from Ensembl.
ACCCCAUGAUGAAUCUCUGAAGGUGAAUCUCCAUCGAGAGGCUAAUAUCAAGUUCACUGUGGACGUGCACC